Molecule: ribosomal RNA, 193 nt
Filed under: uncultured marine bacterium
Lineage: Bacteria
Description: partial 16S ribosomal RNA
Rfam family: Bacterial small subunit ribosomal RNA
Source: RNAcentral
CCUACGGGAGGCAGCAGUGGGGAAUAUUGCACAAUGGGCGAAAGCCUGAUGCAGCCAUGCCGCGUGUGUGAAGAAGGCUCUAGGGUUGUAAAGCACUUUCAGUCGGGAGGAAAGCUUGUAGAUUAAUACUCUGCAAGUGUGACGUUACCGACAGAAGAAGCACCGGCUAACUCAUGCCAGCAGCCGCGGUAAU